GAAAUGCGAUAACUAAUGUGAAUUGCAGAUUACGUGAAUCAUCCAGUCUCUGAACGCAAAUUGCACCCUGACGUAUUCCGCAGGGUAUACCUGUUUGAGUGCUGUUAAAGAGGACCUUUGCUCUACAGCAUUCCUCCUGAUGGCUUGUCCAUUGAGCGCAUUACAGCACCCUGUGUGUCGUAAUGUGUUAGGUAAAGUACCACUCAUUUGCAUGGGUAGAUUCUAGUCAGGCAAAUGAAGUAUACUAAGUCAGUUUAUACUGAGCCAUUCAAGUAGGCCUCAAAUCAGGCAAGAUUACCCGCUGAACUUAA
RNAcentral lists this unclassified non-coding RNA (311 nucleotides) under uncultured fungus. RNAcentral describes it as "sequence contains ITS1". The stretch from base 1 to 104 matches the Rfam family "5.8S ribosomal RNA", at positions 50 to 154 of the family's 154-position model. Lineage: Eukaryota; Fungi. The record is from RNAcentral.